Long non-coding RNA from Syngnathoides biaculeatus (alligator pipefish), 669 nucleotides. RefSeq lists it as uncharacterized. The transcript is spliced from 5 exons. The record is from RefSeq and is a predicted model, not a curated record. Lineage: Eukaryota; Metazoa; Chordata; Actinopteri; Syngnathiformes; Syngnathidae.
CAGGUGUCCAAGGUGGGCAGCAGGACAAGGGCCAUUGAACCGAUUCAAAGUGGGACAAAAAGAGAGAGGGUAAACUAGAAGUGUCACCAAGCAGCAUAAAGCCUCAAGCCAAACAUCGGCCUGGAAAAUAUAACCACCUGGCGUCCGCACGGGUCUGUCCAGGCUGAUAGCGACCGCUGUGGGCAGACAAACAAGUCGGCCUGCUGCCGUCCCGCCACUCGUGACGCCGGUAAUAAAGCGAGCAGCGGGUCGGUCAGACACCAAUCAAUGCGGACCGGGCCUCGCGCAGCACGGCCUCCGAUAUCAGAGCCGGUCCCCGCGCCGCCCGCAGAGCGACCAUCUGCUCUGCAUUUCACGUCAAAGCUCCUCCACCGUGGAUCCGCCUAUCCUCGGCGCGGCGGGGGUCGCGGGGCCAGGGGGACUGAGUCCUGAGGAUCCGGCCCCCGCUUGCCGUCGCCAUCCGGCGUCUGUUGCAGACUCAAACCGUAAAGUGCUUCUCCUUCAGCCAGGUGGCGAGCGCGACGGACACCGCAGGUUGAAGACCGGCGCAAGAAGCAGACUGCGCGUCGAGCAAGCAAGUCUGCGAUGUGUUUGGACCCGGUCCGCAGACCCCCGCGCAGGCAUGCGACCGGCAUUCCCCCCCCCCCCUUCCCCCACCCAUGGCAUUGC